This 159-nucleotide ribosomal RNA is filed under the name Leptoglossus clypealis. Its description in RNAcentral is "partial small subunit ribosomal RNA". The record is from RNAcentral. Lineage: Eukaryota; Metazoa; Arthropoda; Insecta; Hemiptera; Coreidae.
UAAGUUGUUAAAUUGAUUAAGAUUGAUCCUGUCUUUUAUUUUUGGUUGAUUGGUUAUUUGAUAAUAUUAAAUAUAAAUUUUUGUGUGUUUAUUAGAUUUAUCUAAAAGAUAAAUUUUUUAUAUAUUUGUAGUUUUUAAUUUUGAAUAUUAUGGGAACAU